This 468-nucleotide ribosomal RNA is filed under the name uncultured bacterium. RNAcentral describes it as "partial 16S ribosomal RNA". It matches the Rfam family "Bacterial small subunit ribosomal RNA", at positions 28 to 507 of the family's 1533-position model. The record is from RNAcentral.
GACGAACGCUGGCGGCGUGCUUAACACAUGCAAGUCGAACGGAAAGGCCCUGCUUUUUUGGGGUGCUCGAGUGGCGAACGGAUGAGUAACAAGUGAGUAACCUGCCCUCGACUUUGGGAUAACUUCAGGAAACUGAGGCUAAUACCGGCUAGGAGCUCCUGCUGCAUGGUGGGGGUUGGAAAGGUGCGGCGGUUGGGGAUGGACGCGCGGCUUAUCAGCUUGUUGGUGGGGUAGUGGCGUACCAAGGCGUUGACGGGUAGCCGGCCUGAGAGGGUGACCGGCCACAUUGGGACUGAGAUACGGCCCAGACUCCUACGGGAGGCAGCAGUGGGGAAUAGUGCACAAUGGGCGGAAGCCUGAUGCAGCAACGCCGCGUGGGGGAUGACGGCCUUCGGGUUGUAAACCGCUUUCGCCUGUGACGAAGCGUGAGUGACGGUAAUGGGUAAAGAAGCACCGGCUAACUACGUG